This 980-nucleotide long non-coding RNA is filed under the name Malus domestica (apple). RNAcentral's name for it is "long non-coding RNA (MDOM_LNC017477)". Lineage: Eukaryota; Viridiplantae; Streptophyta; Magnoliopsida; Rosales; Rosaceae. The record is from RNAcentral.
UGAUUAAAUGUGGAGCAUCGGCUCCUUUUUUUUUUUUUUUUUUUUGUUUUUUUGGUAAACUGAAAAUAGUAUUUCGGUGCAAAGGGCAGCAAAGUACAAAGAGUAAAAUACCCGAGAGGGCCCAGUUACAAGAUAAUCACGAAGAAAAAAUGGACCAUAAUCCAAAGCCCAAAACAACAGUUUUGAACCUAGAAACAGACAAACCAAACAAAAAACUCUAAAUUCCUGGAACCAUCGCGUCGCUGAGAAACCGCCGCAGACCAAAACUCCAACCCGACGCCAAAGGUCCAGCCAACCAAAUCCGCAAGAGUGAUGGAGAAGACGACUCCAACAACAUCCAAAGACCACCACAAAGAUCGGCACAGCAACCAGAAACCGAAGGAACCAGCAACCAGAAACCGAAGGAAGCUAGUGAGUGAUAAAAGAAAGAAGAACUCAUCAUCUUUCAUUCUACCUUCCUCACAUAUAUAUAUAUAUAUAUAUAUAUAUAUAUAUAUAUAUAUAUAUAUAUAUAUAGACAUAAUCCAUUCAAUUUCUAAAAAAGAUUACUAUUCCUUAACUUUUCAGGGAAUCCUUGAUCAGUGGUUGUGAAUGACUUAUCUUUUCGACCUGGGUUUGGUGAGAGCAAGUAAAAAAGAUUGAGAUAUUUUCGACCAGGUUGAAAUCUACGGACCAGGAUCCUCACCAGAUCUAUUUCCUAGGGAUCCUAGGAUCCACAAUCCUGUCCGUUCAUCGUAUAUCGUGUGGUCAGAAAUUAUUUAAAUUUUAAAUUUUAAAAUUCAAAAAUAAAUAAUACCUAACGAAAACUGACCGUACGAUAUAUAAUAAAUGGAUAGGAUUGCGGGAUCCCUAAGAUCCCUAGGAAUGGAACCGGCGAGGAUCCUGGUGCGAAAUCUCCAUCAAAAUUUUUGCCAGGACCUAUUUACAUGCACUCUAUUCUUUUAUUUGUACUUCUUCGAAACGUCAUAUCAAUGAAUGUC